Molecule: ribosomal RNA, 472 nt
Filed under: uncultured bacterium
Lineage: Bacteria
Description: bacterial SSU rRNA
Rfam family: Bacterial small subunit ribosomal RNA
Source: RNAcentral
GCAGAGCACUCCUACGGGAGGCAGCAGUGGGAAUAUUGCACAAUGGGGGAAACCCUGAUGCAGCCAUGCCGCGUGUGUGAAGAAGGCCUUCGGGUUGUAAAGCACUUUCAGUAGGGAUGAAGGUAGUGUAGUUAACACCUGCAUUAUUUGACGUUACCUACAGAAGAAGCACCGGCUAACUCCGUGCCAGCAGCCGCGGUAAUACGGAGGGUGCGAGCGUUAAUCGGAAUUACUGGGCGUAAAGCGCAUGCAGGCGGCCUGUUAAGUCAGAUGUGAAAGCCCCGGGGCUUAACCUCGGAAUUGCAUUUGAAACUGGCAGGCUAGAGUCUUGUAGAGGGGGUAGAAUUUCAGGUGUAGCGGUGAAAUGCGUAGAGAUCUGAAGGAAUACCAGUGGCGAAGGCGGCCCCCUGGACAAAGACUGACGCUCAGAUGCGAAAGCGUGGGGAGCAAACAGGAUUAGAUACCCUGGUAG